CCCCGAGGUCCGACAUUCCUUGUAAACCAAGCUGAUGCUUCUGUCUCCCCUCAGGAACAAGGUUCAUCCAAGAGUUGUGGCGAAAGUGAAGAGAGACAAAAAGAGAUACUGGAUGUUAACUUGAAGUGGAGCAAGAACUUUUCCAUGAGCCAUCAGGAAAAAUCAAAAACUAAGGUGACCUUUGCAGAUGAAGAAAACUUGUGCACGGUAUAUGAUUUGGAGGAGGAGGAUAGGAAAGGACACUGGGAGGAAUUUGCUCGUGAUCGGGAACGAUUUCAACGAAGGAUAGCAGAAGUGGAGGAGGUACUGAAGCCUGUGCUAUCCACAGAGACGAGAGACAAAAUUUCUCAAAACAUGUUAGAACAGAGUUGAAGAGAGCUCACAGAUAUAUAUGGUCAUGUGACAUAUAUAUGAUCACAGCCAAAGAAAAUAUUGGUCACGUUUAGGAGUAGUAUUUCCACCGCUCUCAGUUGAUUUCUUUCAAAGUAUUUUAGUCGAUAUAUCUCAGGCAACAAGAGGUAACCAAGACCUUACCAAACAAAAAGUUAAGGAGCUAGGCCAAGAAGAUGAUUGCUCAAAUAAUGUCUGGUCAUCGUCAAUGGUCUGAUAAAAAACGACUUGUCAAUUAAUCGGUAAUUCUAAACUUAAAGCAAUAGAACAUUGUUACCAACCAGGUUCCGUUCUCAGGAUUUAACCUAGUUCACACAUGGUGGGUAAUGUCGACGAAGCGGGAGACGCUCAACCUUCCUGAACACUUUGUCUUAUUUCUCCUUGUACAUAUAUCUAUCUGUUGUUCGUCAAUGUAUCCUUCGUUUUAUCGAUUUUGAGUUAGAAUUACGAUCUCGUUAACAUGCCAGUAGGGUUUUAGACAGUAAGAGGUCCAAUAGGCCUGAAGAGCUCACGUUGAGCAGUUUUCGGGUAAAGAUGAUAUUUUUGUGUAUACUUAAUUGUAUUUAGGCGACUUUGAAAAAAAUAUCAAUUUCAUUAUGCUUAAGGAAUUCUGUAUAUUAUUUUGUAUGCGUAAUCCAUAACAUCUAAAGGAGUUGGUCAUUCAUUUGAACAGACUUGGUUACCAUUCACCACAGCAUGCUACAUACUCUUUGUCUCUUGGUUAUUGAGAACAGAAAAGUUGAUGCAGACGGAUGUCGCACCACCAUAUAAGCUCACUUGCCCUUCGGGUAAACUCGUCAACCAAACUGUAAACACGAGGCCACUAUAACAUGACCCUGUAUGCUGCCCUUGUGGCAUAUAGAGUACCAAAUAACCAUCAUUAGUAAUGUACAUUUGAAUAAACUUGGUAGUUCUUUAUAUACACUGUGCAAAUCUAGAGGCUGUUUCAAGUUUUGAUAAUAAUUGAUCCAUGUGACCUUGAAAGAAGGUGAAGGUCAUUCUGUAUCUUUAUAUUAACACUUUCCCUGUGAACGCAUAAUGCAUUGGGGAAGAGCUCGAGGUGCAGGACACUUAGCAUUGCUGGAGUCCAGAAAUGACAGAGGCCUUGAAGAUCUCAGUAGUUGUGGUAUUGACAGUCUUCUUGUCAAGCAGGUUCCUGGGGAGAAACAGUCCUUAUAUUCUUCCCUUUUCGCAUAUUGAACAUUUAAUCUCCUAUUGUAGGUGCAUGAAUGCUUUUCGAAGGUACCAUUAUAGAACCCGCUGAAAUAUCUCCCAAUGGUAAUGUGCCCUCAAUCAUUUUGAAGGAAAGGGCAUGACAAAGCAUUUGCCUGCCCUCUGAUAGUGGAGUCAGGCCCAGGUCCCUCAGCAUAUUUGUUAAGCAGCCCACUCCCCUAGUCUUGUAAUCACCAGUUAUGAAGCAUGCAGCCUUACACUGGACCCUUCCCAGGCUAGCUAUGUUGUAUUGGCAGUAUGGAUCCCAUUCAAUUCACCCAUAACCCAAGAUCGACCCAACAAGGCAGAGGUAGGCUGACCUUUGGCAAUUAUGUGUGCAGUGUAGUUCAUUUUGUAGCCUUGUGAUCCCAUUAGGAUACUGACAAAAUAUGACAUCCGAGGCUAAUUGGUUAUUGAGAAGAUGUCAUUUGAAGGGACACUGCACCAUGCUCUCUUGCCCUUGAGAUAGUAGAGCUGACAAUACCAACAUAAUUAUUUAUUUCUCAAUGGACAUCUUUCGACAUUACUAAUAAAAACACAUUAGUAGUUCAGUUAUUUUUAUUUUUCUAAUUAAAAAUAUCAUCAUUGAUUGAAUACCAGUACACAAAAAUCACGGGAAUAUUUUGCUUAUAAAUAAACAGUUUUCAUGAAUUAAAUCUAAAAUUACAGGUUAAAAUCAAUAACAUGAAAUUAAUAACAUAUACCAUAUUCAUCUUACAAUAACUUAGGCAAAGUAGGCGAGUGUAAUACUUAAGGAAAACAAAUCUGCACUUGACAAGGAUGGCUUUAUUACAAGGCAUUACAAUAUUGUAGGAUAAAUAAGGUAAUGUAUUCAUGGCUUCAUGAUGUGAAAUCAAACAAAGGUAAUGUAUUCACAGUGUCAUGAUGUGAAAUGAAAUCAAACAAAACAUAUUAGUUCCUACACAAGGAUGGGAUUACUGCAGAGUUCAUCAAUUAUUAUGGCAGAAUCUAGUGUCAACAUUACUGUAAUUAUUAAACAUUUCUGUUGGUAAUUAUAAAAUAUCCAAAACUAAUAACAGGUAACUCCUCAAUUGUAUUGGUAUACAUAAAUUGAAAUGUAUUCCACAACAUAAAACAACUUUUUAUGAUAAAUAUUUGGAUAACCUGAAUUCCCAUUCUGCUGUUUUUGAAUCCAUACAUAACCUCAAAUAUCGUGUUCAAAGCUACUUCCACCAUUGCAAAUUAAAUGUCCUCAUUAUGAGACAAGACUCCAUCAGACAACUUACAAGGAAUGAUGAUAAUCUCUUGGUGAUUAUAUGUCAGAUACAAAGUAUUCACAACAUAGCCGUGUAAACGAGUGUUUUUCAUGCUGUAGGAUUACAUGAAUUUUGUCUUAAUGUUUUUGUUUCUUAUAUCUAAUUAUCACACUUAUUCUCACUAGACAGCAUGACUACCCAAUAUUUUCUCUGGUGCUCAUUAUAUUCUUAUGUCUUAAAAUACUACCCAUUUGCUUCCAUAUCUAGCAUGACUUUGCUUCAUCAGACAUCUAUAUACCUGAACCUGACAUUUCAACUAAAAGUCCAUGGUCACAUUCCUCUGGUAAUUAAUUUUACUGGGAUCAACAAACCAUUUUACUCUUGCCAUUACCAAAAUCAGACAACAGCAUGGUUUAAUGCUUACCACCAUUUAAAACACUGACAUGCCUUUUUACCUUGAUAGCCAGAGUUCAAUUCACCAAUCAGAUGUGACGAGUUAUGGGGUCACCUACUUGACCACUUGGGUUUUCUCCUGGGAUUUUCAACUCUUCCCACAUUAUGACCCCCUCCCCUCCCCCCUCUAUCUAGGCCACAAAAGUGAUCAAGUAACAAAUGUUUAGCAAUUGCUGUAAAAUAAAUAGAGUUUAUUUGUUUAUUUUACGCAAGUAUCACCACUAAACUAGUACUUGUAUCUACCCACUAGGUUUGUGAGACAGGAACUAACAAAAUAAGUGAUUUCAUUCAAACACUAUCAUACAAUAAAUAAAUUCUUCUUUAUCCACCAUGCAUAGAUAUUCUUCAUUUCUUGAGUCCUCCUAUAUUUACCGUAGAUAGAUUAGCCCCGACA
Pecten maximus is the source of this 3666-nucleotide long non-coding RNA. RefSeq lists it as uncharacterized. The record is from RefSeq and is a predicted model, not a curated record. Lineage: Eukaryota; Metazoa; Mollusca; Bivalvia; Pectinida; Pectinidae. The transcript is spliced from 2 exons.